CUCUUGAACUGAAUUUUAAUGUGCGUAUUGUUAUGCGUUUACUUUUCUACAUUGGCUAGAGGUAUAGGGGAGGGUUGAGAUCUCACAGACAUGUUUAACCCCGCCGCAUUUUUGCGCCUGUCCCAAAUCAGGAGCCUCUGGCCUUUGUUAGUCUUGUAUUAUUUUAAUUUUAGUUUCUUGUGUACAAUUUGGAAAUUAGUAUGGCGUUCAUUAUUACUGAACUAGUAUAUAUUUGUUUAAGGG
RNAcentral lists this long non-coding RNA (243 nucleotides) under Mytilus galloprovincialis (Mediterranean mussel). The record is from RNAcentral. Lineage: Eukaryota; Metazoa; Mollusca; Bivalvia; Mytilida; Mytilidae.